UACGUAGGUGGCAAGCGUUGUCCGGAUUUACUGGGCGUAAAGGGCGUGCAGGCGGUCUGUUAAGUGCAGGGUGAAAGCUCCCGGCUCAACUGGGAGAGGUCCUUGCAUACUGGCGGACUUGAGGGGGGUAGAGGAAAGUGGAAUUCCCGGUGUAGUGGUGAUAUGCGUAGAUAUCGGGAGGAACACCUGUGGCGAAGGCGGCUUUCUGGGCCGUACCUGACGCUGAGACGCGAAAGCGUGGGGAGCGAACAGG
This 253-nucleotide ribosomal RNA is filed under the name uncultured bacterium. RNAcentral describes it as "partial 16S ribosomal RNA". It matches the Rfam family "Bacterial small subunit ribosomal RNA", at positions 524 to 776 of the family's 1533-position model. The record is from RNAcentral.